AAUCAACGCUGGCGGCGUGCCUAACACAUGCAAGUCGAACGAGAAAGCGGGGGCAACUCCGUGAGUAAAGUGGCGCACGGGUGAGUAACACGUGACUAACCUACCUUGGAGUUCGGAAUAACCUCGGGAAACCGGGGCUAAUACCGGAUAAUACCUAUGGGUCAAAGGAGCAAUUCGCUCUGAGAGGGGGUCGCGGCUGAUUAGCUAGUUGGUAGGGUAAUGGCCUACCAAGGCGACGAUCAGUAUCCGGCCUGAGAGGGCGCACGGACACACUGGAACUGAAACACGGUCCAGACUCCUACGGGAGGCAGCAGUGGGGAAUUUUGCACAAUGGGGGAAACCCUGAUGCAGCAACGCCGCGUGGAGGAUGAAGUCCCUUGGGAUGUAAACUCCUUUCGACCGGGACGAUAAUGACGGUACCGGAAGAAGAAGCACCGGCUAACUCUGUG
Molecule: ribosomal RNA, 449 nt
Filed under: uncultured bacterium
Lineage: Bacteria
Description: bacterial SSU rRNA
Rfam family: Bacterial small subunit ribosomal RNA
Source: RNAcentral